CCUGUUAGCGUUAGCUAGUGCGGCGCUAGCAUUAGCACUAGCGUAAGUGCUGUGCUAGCGUGCUGCUGCUGUCUUACUGGCAUGUGUCAAUGAUAUUUACUGGUAAGUUUUAUCUUAACUGGCCCUGUUAGCGUUACCUAGCACCGCACUAGUACUAGCAUUAGUAUUAGCGCUGUGCCAGGGUGUUUCUGCUGUCUUACUGGCGUGCCUCAGUGAUAUUUACGGGUAAGUUUUAUUCUAACUGGCCCUGUUAGCGUUAGCUUUUGCGGCGCUAGCGUUAGCACUAGCGUAAGUGCUGUGCUAGCGUGUUGCUGCUGUCUUACUGGCAUGUGUCAAUGAUAUUUACUGCCGCAAAGGGGCACUCGAGCGGAAAAGGGGGCACUCAAGCGGAAAAGGUAAGAGUGACACCGGUGGAAUAUAUGUGCCGAGGAAGUGACUUUUACCGGCCGAGUGUUAGCAUGUUGCUGCUGUGUUAUUGGCAAGUCUCAGUGAUAUUUACCGGUAAGUUUUAUUUUAACCAGCCCUGCUAGCGUUAGCACUAGCAUUAGGUAACAGCCACAAGGGGGGUAAGAGCGAGACCGGUGGAAUAUAUGUGCAGAGAAAGUGACUUUUCCCAGUCCAGCCCUGUUAGCGCUGCAUUAGCAUGUUACUGACGAGUCUCUGUGAUUUUUACCAGUAUGUUUUUUUUUUUUUACCGGCCCUGUUCGCGCGGCGCUAGCAUUAGCUAAUGGCCACAAGGAAGACUUGAACAGAAAAGGUAAGAGCGAGACCAGUGGAAUAUAUGUGCCGAGGAAGUGACUUUUACCAGUCCAUCCCUGUUAGCGCUGUGUUACCGUGUUACUGCCGUGUCUGAGUGAUUUUUACCGGGAUGUUUUUUUUAACCGGCCCUGUUAGAGCGGCGCUAGCGUUAGCAUUAAGGCGACACUAGCGUUAGUGCGGCGCUAGCGUUAGCCUAUGGCCUAUGUAUGUACCAAAUGGUAUUUCCUUUCCAAAUGUACUGGGUGAGGCUUAUAACCAGGUGCGCUCUGUAGGCCGGGAAUUACGGUACUUAUCUGAGGUACAGACAAAUUCAAAAACGACUGCACAAGACUUUUUAUUUUUCUGCACUUAAUUUGACAAAAAUCGGCUUUGUGGUCAUGAGUGGGGGGUCUCCCGUGUAUGGCGUCCGUGGACCCAGAAAGUUUGAGAACCCCCGAUCUAACCUGGGCCUCGGCGACUUCGGCGGGGCGUGAAAAAUAUUUCCAAAUCAAUGUCUCGCUCUGUAUCGCCAUCCCUCCUGAGUGCGCGGCGCACAAAGCCGAGCGACGGCGGCGGCGGCGCCGCGUAAUUACGGCAGUUUUCUACCUGUCGCGCUUAAUACACUGCCUGGCCCCGCGUCCUCUCCCGGCCGCCCAGUGUUUUCCCCCUGGCGCUCAUUCAUCGCGAGCACUUAGCCAAAGAGGAAAUUGCGAAGAAAUGAUAGGAUAAACACCAUAAAAGAAGAAAGUAUGACAACUAAAUCAUCAACUCUCAAUACAAAGCUCCCCGCCUGGCACCUGAGCGCCAUUAUGAGCGAGCGGCUUCGGAGAAUACGGCGGCGGCGGGCGAGCGCGCGCGUCGCCGGCGGAAACCCUGCCGUCUAAUUGAGAGGAGAGCCGGCAGACGGGGCGAGGAGGGUGACAUUUCCCUCUCGGUGACGGGCCGCGUUACCACCGCGUUAAUGAUGCCGUUUACCGUCGCCCGCGGAGAGACAGCGAGACGCCGGCGGGGGGUCCGUGCCGAGUGUGUGUUGAGCAAGACAAUCGCAAAUGUGAGACAUACCGUAUACUAUAUUGCUUAAAUACAACACUCAAAAGAAAGUAUUUAAUGUACACACCGACGCAGCCACUACGAUAUUGCAAUUAAAUAAAACAAAAAGUUUGAGUGGGGAUUCUUGAAUUAUUCCUCGUGAAUGAUGACUGCACGUUAAACUCGAGCCGGCGCGUUCCACUCGCUGCCUUUGUCGUUUGUCGCCAGCUCUUUUGUGGGCGACAUCUGUCACAGGGGCCCGAGGACUUGGCGACGACGGUGAAACGCAACACCUCAGUCACACAACGAGGUCGGGGGGCUUUUCCCGAACAACUGAACUUAAUCUCUCUCCCCCCCCCCCCUAAAAAAAUGUCUUCAAGUUGACUUGAAUUCAUUUUACCUCAGCUAGUGUUGAAUAAUUGUGACUACAAUCAUUUAUGUAACAUGGGCUCCCCGAUUGUACACAUGGUAGGUGCAUGGCGCGCAUCUUCUUUUUCCUUUCGGCUUGUCCCGUUUAGGGGUCGCCACAGCGUGUCGUAUUUUCCCAUCUAAGCCUCUCUCGUGCAUCUUCCUCACUCCCACCCACAGUCUUCACGUCCUCUCUCACAACAUCCAUCAACCUUUUCUUUGGUCUUCCUCUUGCUCUCUCUUCCUUGACAGCUCCAUCCUUACCAUCCUUCUACCGAUAUACUCCCUCUCUCGCCUCUGGACAUGUUCAAACCAUCGAGGUCUGCUCUCUCGGACCUUGUCUCCAAACAUCCAACUUUGGCUGCCCCUCUAAGGAUCUCAUUUCUAAUGCUAUCCAACCUGCUCACUCCGAGCGAGAACCUCAACAUCUUCAUUUCUGCCACCUCCAGUUCUGCUUCCUGCCACCGUCUCCAAACCAUACAUCAUGGCCGCCCUUACCACUCUUUUGUAUACUUUGCCCUUCAUCCUAGCGGAGACUCUUCUGUCACAUAGAACACCAGACACCUUGCGCCAACUGUUCCACCCCGCUUGGACCCGUUUCUUCACUUCCUUUCCACACUCACCAUUGGUCCGUAUUGUUGACCCCGAGUAUUUGAAGUCGUCCACCCUCGCUAUCUUUUCUCCCUGUAGCCUCACUCUUCCCCCUCCAGAUAUUCAGUUUUACUUCAGCUAAUCUUCAUUCCUCUCCUUUCCAGUGCGUGCCUCCCUCCAUCUUUCUAAUUGUUCCUCCGCCUGCUCCCUGCUUAUCACAAUAUCAUCUGCGAAGAUCGUAGUCCGAGGGGAUUCCAGUCUGACCUCGUCUGUCGUUACUACAGCAAACACGAAGGGGCUCAGCGCGGAACCCUGAUGCAGUCCCACCUCCACCUGAAAUUCUUCACUGUCUCGAUAUGUGCCCUGUAAUUGACUGGCUAACUAGUUUAUGCUGUAGUCUUGCGUCUUGAACAGAAAAAGGGAUGUCGAGAAUUGAUGGAUGAAUCCAAGGGGAUUCCAGUCUAACCACAUCUGUCACCGCAAACAGGAAGGGGCUCAGCGCGGAUCCCUGAUGCAGUCCCACCUCCACCUUAAAUUCUUCUGUCACGCCUAUGGCACGUCUCACUGCUGUUCUGCUGCCCUCAUACAUGUCCUGAACUAUACUAACAUAUUUCUCCGCCACACCGGACUUGCGCAUGCAGUACCACAGUUCCCCUCUUGGUCCUCUGUCAUGGGCUUUCUCUAGGCCUACAAAGACACAAUGUAGCUCCUUCUGACCUUCUCCGUACUUUUCCACAAGCAUCCUCAAGGCAAAUAAUGAGUCUGUGGUCCUCUUUCUAGGCACAAAAUCAUACUGUUGCUCGCAGAUACUUACUUCCGUCCUGAGUCUUCCCUCCACUACUUUCCCGUAACUUCAUUGCAUACUCAAUUCCAAACCUGGCAAGUCAACUAUUCGCAGAUUUAAAAAAAAAACAAAAAAACGCAAAAUCAGUUUUAAUCCUCUGUGAAUCGUAGCCGUUUACUGUAAAUACACCUCAUACUGUACCGCAUAUAAAAAUAAUAUAAUUGCCGAGCACAUCAUUACUGCACUAAUUGAUCGGCGUCAAAGCGCACUUUUGCAUCCAUUUUCCCCUAAGUGGCCCUGAAAACAAACCAAGACCAAGAGCACACCUCAGCGAUUGUGCGAGUGAAAAGCGAAUUCACAGACGAACAAGAGCUCUCUCUUUUUUUUUACCCCCCCCCCGCCCCCUUUUGACUCUUUUUCUCUUGUAAAGAACAAAAUACAGUGCCCGCUCGCCAAAGCGUCAUCGCUCCCUGCUGACCCGCUUAACAAGCAUGACAGUUUUGCGACGUUCCUCUUUAAAAGGCCGCCGAACAUCAGCUCUCUCUCCGUCCUUUGGAUGAAAACGCUUUUAGCCGCCUGGCUCAAGGGUACAAGCGGAGUGUGUGUGACUCAAAAGCGGGGAUGGAAAGGCAUAUGGAGUCAGUCGCUUUUUGGUCAGCGCUGAGCUUGCCCACGGGGCAUCGGGGGUCACCCUCCUGAAAAAACCCACUGUUAGCGCGGCUGAGAGGUCACGGGGGGGUUGCGUCGAGGAGCGGGGGGUCGGGGGUCGCCCCCCCCCCCCCAGAAAUUGAGCUCGAGGCUCCUCUGAUGUCUUUUUGUGCGUGUAGCGCGUUGACGGAGGCCGCGGGAGAACUCGGGCGAGGUGACCUGCGACAGGCUGUGCGGCGGGGCUGUGCCCGCCCCUGAGAACGAGCAUACGCCGCUGGCAACCCUUGAGCAAACGCACAACAGGGCUGACUUAAUGAUGAAUAGUAUUUUUAGUCAUUUUGUUUUUAUGUUUCAAUUCCGGUUGAUCAAAAUUGAGCCAAUCAAAAAUUCAUAAAACCCAAAAAUACGUUCAUCCUCUGCUUG
Molecule: long non-coding RNA, 4621 nt
Organism: Syngnathoides biaculeatus (alligator pipefish)
Lineage: Eukaryota; Metazoa; Chordata; Actinopteri; Syngnathiformes; Syngnathidae
Exons: 3
Source: RefSeq, a predicted model, not a curated record